UACAGAGGUCUCAAGCGUUGUUCGGAUUCAUUGGGCGUAAAGGGUGCGUAGGCGGCGGGGCAAGUCUGAUGUGAAAUCCCGGGGCUCAACCCCGGAACUGCAUUGGAUACUGCUCUGCUAGAGUACUGGAGAGGAGACUGGAAUUUACGGUGUAGCAGUGAAAUGCGCAGAUAUCAGGAGGAACACCGGUGGCGAAGGCGGGUCUCUGGGCCGAAAUUGACGCUGAGGAGCGAAAGCGUGGGGAGCAAACAGG
RNAcentral lists this ribosomal RNA (253 nucleotides) under uncultured bacterium. Its description in RNAcentral is "partial 16S ribosomal RNA". It matches the Rfam family "Bacterial small subunit ribosomal RNA", at positions 524 to 776 of the family's 1533-position model. The record is from RNAcentral.